ACAUCACCCCACACACACAUCACCCCACACACACAUCACCCCACACACAAACACAUACACUGUACCCCUCAAUGCAGUGUGUGUACACUCAGCAGUCUGGCCCUGUACCCAGCUACACCAACCCCAGAGAUUUUUGAAAGGAUCAUGGUAGAUGUACAAGAAUACCUCAUAUCCAGAGGGGUCCAACCAAACCAGCAAUCCAGAGGGGAGUCACCGCAUUCACCCAGCAUGAUACAGGGAAAACCAAAAAUUCCUUACCAAGCUUUUAAAAAUUUUACGGACACAGAGGGGGAUCUUGACGGAUAUUUGCAGGACUUUGAAAGACUGUGCCAGCUGCAUGAUAUCAGGCCCCAAGAUCAGGUACCCCUGCAAACCGGUAAAUUAUCUGGCCGCGCAGCGGACGCCUACCGGGCCGUGCCUAAUGAGGACAGCAGAGACUACCAGAAGGUAAAACAAGCCAUCCUAGUCCGGUAUGCCAUUACCCCUGAGGCAUACCGACUCCAAUUCCCGGACCUGAAAAAAACAAGAAAAGGACUCCCACGCUGAGUUUGCACACCGCUUAUAACGAGCAGCCACAGGAUGGAUUGAGGCGGUGCAAGCAACUACACAGAACAAGAUCAUGCAACUACUGCUGUUGGAACAGUUCUACCGGAGAUUAUCUACAGAGAUGCAGAACUGGGUAAGGGACCGUAAACCAUGUACCUUACAAGACGCAGCUAAAUUAGCAAAUGAACAUCAAGACACUAGGCGAGAGCAGCGCCCACCGCCUAAGGUAUUUCCCCAGCCAAUCACCCACCGGCCUGCCUUGGCUGAUCCAGCUCACCAACGAUUGGGGGGAGCCAACAACCAAUACCAACCUAGGUACCCCACCCGGGCACACAUCCGAUGCCACACCUGCAACCAACUAGGGCAUGUACAAAGAGAAUGCCCCCGAAACAGGGCAUGACCAGCAUGGCCCAACCAAGGCCAACCACCUGGCCCUAGGGUUGCAGUACACUGCUACCAGACUGGAGCAUUUAUCCAGCCCUCCACAGCCACCCAGAUAGGCACUCUCCACGAAGUUAAGCCCUCUCAAGCGGCGUCCGACAACCGCCAAAGCCAUCGACUAGUUGUCCACGUAGAAGGGAAACGUAUGGAAGAACUGACAGAUUCCGGGGGCCACCGUCACCUUGGUCCGAAAUCACCUUGUCCCAAAAGACCAACUUACAGGGGAUUGUAUAGCAGUACGAGUUGCAGGGGGAGGAAUCUGCCAAGAUACAUUUGAAUUGGGGAGCGGGGUCAGGGAACGUGGUGGUGGGGAUGAUGCAAGACUUGCCAGCGGAUGUUAUUUGGGGAAAUGACUUGGGGGAGCUCACCCAGUCGUCACCAGGCAGCAGGCUCGCACCACGGCACAAUCCAGUGACUCUGAGGCUCAGGUAAGCAAUGAAACCCAUAAUCACACUGCCCUUCCCUGGGAUGCCCCUCUAGAAUUUGGUAGCGAGGUCGCUCUAGAUCCUUCCCUGCAGGUUUACAAAGACCGAAUAGACAAGAACCAGGCAGGCUUAGAAGGAGAAAGAUAUGCUUGGGAUAAAGUGUUAUUAUACCAGUAUGCAGAGAAGGUAGUAGCCGGGUCUAUUCCCAUCCCCAUAAAACCGUUAAUUGUGCCUCGAAAGUACAGACAGGAGUUGCUGUGUAUAGCACACGACAUACCUUUGUCAGGUCAUUUAGGGAUCAGCCGAACUAAACAUCAGCUGACCCAGAACAACUUCUGGCCAGGUAUCUCCAAGGAUAUUAGACAAUACUGUACUACCUGCGAUACCUGCCAGAGGGUAGGGAAAAGGGGAGACCGCUAUAAAGCCAAACUCUAUCCCUUACCUAUAAUAGAAGAACCUUUUAGUCGAGUAGCGGUAGACAUAAUCGGACCGCUGAAAAAGUCUAGUCCCUUCGGCAAGAAGUACAUCUUGACCGUAGUGGACUACGCCACCAGAUACCCCGAAGCAGUGGCCCUAACGAAUGUACAUGCCGAGACCGUAGCGGAUGCCCUUAUGCGAAUAUUCUCCCGCAUGGGAUUUCCACGGGAGAUUAUUUCGGAUAGGGGUACCCAAUUCACGGCAGAGGUCACCCACCAGCUCUGGAAAGUAUGUGGGGUAACAUCUAUCUUUAAUUAUCCCUACCACCCCCAGGCCAACGGUCUCUGUGAACGGUUCAACGGAACACUUAAACAGAUUAUCCGGACGUUCAUAGACACGCAGAAAGACUGGGAGAGGUUUUACCCCAGUUGCUGUUCGCCUAUAAGGAAGUGCCACAAGAAUCCACCGGGUUCUCGCCCUUUGAAUUAUUGUUUGGGAGGAGAGUGAGGGGACCCCUAGAUUUAAUCCGAGAGCACUGGGAGGGGGGGUUACCACUAAUGGUACCCCUAUUGUACCAUAUGUACUGGAGUUCUGGUAACGCUUGAAGGCUUUAACCCAGAUGGUACGUAAUAACCUCCAGGCGGCCCAACAACGACAGCGCAGAUGGUAUGAUAGGUGGGGCCAGGGACCACAGCUUUCAGGUCGGUCAGAAAGUGCUAAUCCUAUGACCCGACCCUAGUGACAAGCUGCAGGCCUCCUGGCAGGGACCAUUCAAGGUGGUAGAGCAAAUCUGCGAUACCACCUACAUAAUUGGCCCGUGCGCUGGAGCGGGAGGCAGACGCAUGCUCCAUGUGAACAUGCUGAAGCCCUCCCAUGAGCACACAGAAGAGGUGACCGCAAUCUGUGCCUCUGCCGCUGAGGAUGCUGAUAACCUGCCGCUACCAGACCUCCUGGCGAGAGAAGGAAAAAAUGAGGAUCUGGAAGCUGUACAGCUAGGGGAGUGCUUGAGUUCCCAGGACAGAACCCAGGCCCAAAAUGUAAUUAUGGAAAAAGCGGCCACCUUUUCCAAUUUCUUAUUAGCCACCCACAGGGUAGAAACCCCAGGACAAACACCCCUCCGCCAACCUCCUUAUCGCAUCCCGAGUCGGUAAAAGAGAAUAUACAGGGAGUGCAGAAUUAUUAGGCAAGUUGUAUUUUUGAGGAUUAAUUUUAUUAUUGAACAACAACCAUGUUCUCAAUGAACCCAAAAAACUCAUUAAUAUCAAAGCUGAAUAUUUUUGGAAGUAGUUUUUAGUUUGUUUUUAGUUUUAGCUAUGUUAGGGGGAUAUCUGUGUGUGCAGGUGACUAUUACUGUGCAUAAUUAUUAGGCAACUUAACAAAAAACAAAUAUAUACCCAUUUCAAUUAUUUAUUAUUACCA
Molecule: long non-coding RNA, 3248 nt
Filed under: Pelobates cultripes (western spadefoot toad)
Lineage: Eukaryota; Metazoa; Chordata; Amphibia; Anura; Pelobatidae
Source: RNAcentral